CAGGGAGACAACAAAAUGUUUAAUAUUAUUAUUUUGUCACCUUAGGUCGAUCGGUAUCUCACAUCCUUAAUUUAUUAAGGAUUUCAUUUCCUAAGUUUUUCUAGGUCACACCCAUUUUUUUCCUGGGCCAUUAGCUCAGGUGGUUAGAGCGCACCCCUGAUAAGGGUGAGGUCCCUGGUUCAAGUCCAGGAUGGCCCAUAUCUCUAUGUUGGGGGUAUAGCUCAGUUGGUAGAGCGCCUGCUUUGCAAGCAGGAUGUCAGCGGUUCGAGUCCGCUUACCUCCACUGAUUACCACCUCUUACAUAAAUUGCAGAAAGGAAAUUUUUUGAGUUGUGAUCAAAUUCUGAACGAAUCUAGCUUCCUAAUGAAAUCAUUAAGAUGCUGGACUCAUUGAAUUAAUUUCAUUGUUUUCAGAGAACCUUGACAACUGCAUAGAUUAUUUUUAAAGACAAUUAGCAUCUUUAAUGAUGCAGAUUUAUUAUUUGUGCGAAUGCAUUAAUAACAAUUCUAUUAAGCUGAUGCUUCAAUUUUGAAGUUAUU
RNAcentral lists this transfer RNA (539 nucleotides) under uncultured cyanobacterium. RNAcentral describes it as "partial 16S-23S ribosomal RNA intergenic spacer". The stretch from base 211 to 283 matches the Rfam family "tRNA". The record is from RNAcentral. Lineage: Bacteria; Bacillati; Cyanobacteriota.